This 573-nucleotide ribosomal RNA is filed under the name Triticum aestivum (bread wheat). RNAcentral describes it as "partial small subunit ribosomal RNA". The record is from RNAcentral. Lineage: Eukaryota; Viridiplantae; Streptophyta; Magnoliopsida; Poales; Poaceae.
AUGCAGUAUAUCCACUUUCUUCUGUUUAUUUUAAGUAUUAUUGUGGGUCUGCAGUAUGAAUCACUACACGCUGGAGAAGUUCCUAGAGGCGAUCAGGAGCAGAGGCAUCAAGAUAUGCCCUGGGUGCAAUGCCUCGCAGGCUGUAGCACCUGCCCAGUUAUGCAUAUGUCGGCAAGACAAGUUUUGCCUGCUUUGCUUCAUAUCAGUCUCUUCUCAUCGCGGCCAGAGCUUGGAAGCAAUUCAACUAGGCACCAUGAUGCUGGAUGGAAGUACAACUUCUUGUCGGAAGGUUCUUAUAUAUGGUCUCUAGAAACACUCGCACACAGACUCUCUGCUCUUGUUUGCCCGCCGCCGCCGCUCCAUGCCUUCGCCGCCGCCCUCGCACAUCAAAGCCGCCGCCCUCCAUCGGACGAUCCACUUCAGGAGACGCCGCCGACCCCGUUGAGGACCAGCCGUCGAUCACGUCCAGGAUCCAACGCCGAUCCCCUUCAGGAGCCGCACGCCACCGCAGAUCCAUCCCCUGAAAAAUCGGGACUCUUGAGAUGGGCGAUCGAGAGGGAUCAAAAGGAGUAA